Molecule: long non-coding RNA, 1883 nt
Organism: Enhydra lutris kenyoni (northern sea otter)
Lineage: Eukaryota; Metazoa; Chordata; Mammalia; Carnivora; Mustelidae
Exons: 4
Source: RefSeq, a predicted model, not a curated record
GAAAUGCCACUUUUUAAAACCCAACAAAAAUAUUUACAAAGCAUACAAAAUAUAUGUAAAAACUACUAAUCGUAGUUGUUUGUAGAAAGCAAAACGUGGGGAACAAUUUACCUGUCCCUAUAUCGGAAGGCGAUUGUAUGGUAUUGUGCCUGGCAGAAUUCUAAGGUGAAGCUGCAGUGACCCUGCCCUUGAGUGUGGGUGAGACUUGGAGUGGGAUGGAUUCUAUUCCCCUGAUUAGGUUGUCAGAUGGCGCAGCUGACCUUCCGAAAGAGAGGUUAUCCUGAGUGGCCCUGACCUAAGCAGGUGACUCCUCAAAAGGAUUCAGCUCUUCCUAGAAGAAGUGUGAAGCUUGAGGUAUAUUUGUUACUGGCUUUGAAGAUGGAGGGAAUCACCCGGUAAGGAAUGAAGGAAACCUCUAGGAGCUGAGCGGCCCCAGUCGACCGCCAGCAAGGAAGCGAACUUCAGUCCUGAAGCUGCAAGGAAGUGGAUUCUGCCACAGUUUGAAAGAGGUUGGAAGAGGACCCCAAGUCUCAGAUGGGGGGGCAGCCCUGGGAGACCCUGAGCAGAGGAGCAGCCACACUGUGCGAGACUCCUGAACACAAAAACCGUGAGUUUUUUAAAAAAUAGGUGUUUACUGAAGUAAGCAAGGAUUUGCGGCUGUUUGGAGCCGGAGUGGCAGAUGGAGCCAACUUGGAGACUUCUGGGGCAGAAGUAUGAGUUACAACCCAGAGGCUGCUGCAUGAUGCCCAGACAUCACACAGACCACCUCCACGCUCGGAGAGCCGAGGAGCUCUCAGAGUAGACAUGCUAUUGCCUUCGAGCAUGGAAGACAAGGAUUCCUGCCACCUCCCACUUUGGACUACACUGGAAAGCUGGAUGGCCAUCAGAAUUUGCCAUCAGUGGACUAAAUGAACAAGCUGGUUACCUCAGUGGAAAUUCCACAAGGAGAUAAAUCCCUUCCUACAACAUCAAUAUUUCAACGGAAUGCUUCCUGGCAUGGAAGUCUCUAAGUAAGCCCCAGUGGCUAGGCCCAAAUUCAAGGAAAGCCCAAAUCUGCAAACUGGAAAAAUGGAAUGGAGAAUGUAAAUACUAUAAAGAGAUGACAUCUGAAACAAUUUCAAAAUAAGAGGCAAUGACUUCUUCAAGUCUUAACUUGAGUCCUUGAGAGUUGAGCUAUUCAAUGAAUUAUAUAUAAAAGCAGUCCCCAGGAAUACAACCUCCUCCAUGUACUGCUUAGAGCAGCCCAGUAUUCACAGAUGCAUUCAUGCGGCUCAGCAUACCUGUGAAGUAGGACCGUCAUUCCCAUUUUACUAAUUAGGAACAGGCUGAGGUAAAUUAGGAAAUUUACUUAAGGUGCCUUAGCAAGAGUUAUCAGUGAGAAGACCUGAACUCCCAAACCUGUGCUUGACACCACACCACCAUUCCCUUCUAGAACUUGCCUCCCUUGGCUCUCAGGUCUUUGAUCUUUUUAAGAUCUUCUAUCUAACCAAGCCCUAGCCUUCUCCUUUAAAUGCUCCCUCUCAAAACAGAGCUCUUUCAUGUGUCAAAGUUUCAACCACAAAGACAAUCACAAAUUACUUGACUUUAACUCCUCUCUCUCAAUCCAAAGGCCAAAUGCAGUAACACAUUAUCUUCCCACAGAAUGUCAGAAGGCUCUUAAAAUAGCAAGACUAGCCACUUUUCUAUUAAAGUUUUCUUAUCGCCUGAACCAUGCGGUAAGUAUCAGAGUGUCACCGUAAGAGUGGCUUUAACUAUAAGGAAGCAAAAGCUUGCCUGGAAAAUUCUCUGAACCCUUUCCUUCCUUCCCAGGUUAGCGGCAACAGAGCAGCAGACCACAUGCAGUGGAAAGCAGCACCAGACCAGGCUGAGCCUGGCUAGGCUUA